RNAcentral lists this ribosomal RNA (253 nucleotides) under uncultured bacterium. Its description in RNAcentral is "partial 16S ribosomal RNA". It matches the Rfam family "Bacterial small subunit ribosomal RNA", at positions 524 to 776 of the family's 1533-position model. The record is from RNAcentral.
UACGGGGGGUGCAAGCGUUGUUCGGAAUUACUGGGCGUAAAGGGCUCGUAGGCGGCCAACUAAGUCAGACGUGAAAUCCCCAGGCUCAACCUGGGAACUGCGUCUGAUACUGGAUGGCUUGAAUCCGGGAGAGGGAUGCAGAAUUCCAGGUGUAGCGGUGAAAUGCGUAGAUAUCUGGAGGAACACCGGUGGCGAAGGCGGCAUCCUGGACCGGCACUGACGCUGAGGAGCGAAAGCCAGGGGAGCAAACGGG